GGCGCUAUAGCCAAGUGGUUACGGCGACAGAUUAGAAUCUCGAGAAACUAUCUGUUCCUCUUUGAGGGCGCAGGUUCAAAUCCUGCUGGCGUCG
Termitomyces sp. T32_za158 is the source of this 94-nucleotide non-coding RNA. The record is from the annotation of a GenBank genome assembly. Lineage: Eukaryota; Fungi; Basidiomycota; Agaricomycetes; Agaricales; Lyophyllaceae.